GACGAACGCUGGCGGCGUGCUUAACACAUGCAAGUCGAACGGAAAGGCCCUGCUUUUGUGGGGUGCUCGAGUGGCGAACGGGUGAGUAACACGUGAGUAACCUGCCCUUGACUUUGGGAUAACUUUAGGAAACUGGGGCUAAUACCGGAUAGGAGCUCCUGCUGCAUGGUGGGGGUUGGAAAGUUUCGGCGGUUGGGGAUGGACUCGCGGCUUAUCAGCUUGUUGGUGGGGUAGUGGCUUACCAAGGCUUUGACGGGUAGCCGGCCUGAGAGGGUGACCGGCCUCAUUGGGACUGAGAUACGGCCCAGACUCCUACGGGAGGCAGCAGUGGGGAAUAUUGCACAAUGGGCGGAAGCCUGAUGCAGCAACGCCGCGUGCGGGAUGACGGCCUUCGGGUUGUAAACCGCUUUCGCCUGUGACGAAGCGUGAGUGACGGUAAUGGGUAAAGAAGCACCGGCUAACUACGUG
Molecule: ribosomal RNA, 468 nt
Filed under: uncultured bacterium
Lineage: Bacteria
Description: partial 16S ribosomal RNA
Rfam family: Bacterial small subunit ribosomal RNA
Source: RNAcentral